Molecule: long non-coding RNA, 638 nt
Organism: Sphaeramia orbicularis (orbiculate cardinalfish)
Lineage: Eukaryota; Metazoa; Chordata; Actinopteri; Kurtiformes; Apogonidae
Exons: 3
Source: RefSeq, a predicted model, not a curated record
GAGCCUGGCUUCAUCUACCUCUGCUUCUGCUCCACAUGAACCAACACGCACUAGUUUUCCUGCUCUCCAUCUCCCUCCUCUGGACAAAACUAGGGCUGCACCUCAACAGCUGCCUUCCCAGAGCCUCAGCCAAUCACAUGACAGAAACAUCAGCCAAUCUCGUAGAUCACAACCCACAGAGACGACGCCUUCAUCGAUUAAUAAACAACGCCUUACUGAGCGUCUGAGCAGCCCUCUCUCAUAAAGGAAGGCCCAUUUUCAAACAGUGUUGUCCCUGAAAUGAAAUGUCUACCAAAUGUACUCCAACUGGAGCCACUUUACAGUCCUCUGCUGAGGAAAAACCAGUCACUUAGAGGUCUUGACCCCGGCCCCACCUCCACAGAGGCUGACUGAGGCAGAGAUUCCUCUGUGGAAAGUACUAGAAGGAAGAGUGAGAAAGAUUCACCUGACAAAAUCUAUGCCAAGACGGUUAUUACACAAGAGUACAUAAAACCUUUGUGCAGAGGCUCAAACAGAGAAGAUUCUUCUGAGAAAGACACUCAUAAGAAGCAAGAACAACUGACAAAAGAUUCAGAAAGUCGUCAGAUCCUCCCACCCCCUGCUCAGCCUGGUUCACCAUCAGUUAAAGAGGAGCCCAA